This 450-nucleotide long non-coding RNA is filed under the name Mustela putorius furo (domestic ferret). Its description in RNAcentral is "lncRNA (ENSMPUG00000024966.1)". The record is from RNAcentral. Lineage: Eukaryota; Metazoa; Chordata; Mammalia; Carnivora; Mustelidae.
UGCCACCCUCCAGAAGGCGUAACCCGCUGUGAGGCUGCAGAGGUAGAAGAGACUGACUUCCUCCCUAGAGUGUACGUUCUAGCAGUGGGAAGCAAACACGCAAACACAGAAAGACAGCUUGGUGUGGUGUGUACAACAAUGGGAAGGCCUGCCAGCACAGUGUGCAUGUAAAGGGAAAAACCAGUUCAGUUAUUAAGGGAAGCUCUCAACACAGAGCAGAGCAAGAGAAGGCAGGGCUUCCGAGAGAAUAGCUGUGUACCAUCAAAGCGAAUUGGGUUGCACACAGACAUGGUAUAUCAUACACGAGACAAAGAUUUCAAGACCAGUUCUGUCAAAUGGCUGAGACCCAACCUUGCCUGGUGAUGGUGGGGAUGUUGACAUGCUGUGCCUCCUGGCUUCAUUCUAAGUAAAUAAAUCAAUAAUAACUCUUUUGAGCCUUUCACCUUUCUU